RNAcentral lists this ribosomal RNA (255 nucleotides) under Clostridioides difficile. Its description in RNAcentral is "partial 16S ribosomal RNA". It matches the Rfam family "Bacterial small subunit ribosomal RNA", at positions 1136 to 1390 of the family's 1533-position model. Lineage: Bacteria; Bacillati; Bacillota; Clostridia; Peptostreptococcales; Peptostreptococcaceae. The record is from RNAcentral.
CACUCUAGAGAGACUGCCAGGGAUAACCUGGAGGAAGGUGGGGAUGACGUCAAAUCAUCAUGCCCCUUAUGCUUAGGGCUACACACGUGCUACAAUGGGUAGUACAGAGGGUUGCCAAGCCGUAAGGUGGAGCUAAUCCCUUAAAGCUACUCUCAGUUCGGAUUGUAGGCUGAAACUCGCCUACAUGAAGCUGGAGGUACUAGUAAUCGCAGAUCAGAAUGCUGCGGUGAAUGCGUUCCCGGGUCUUGUACACAC